UACGUAGGGGGCAAGCGUUGUCCGGAUUUAUUGGGCGUAAAGAGCUCGUAGGUGGUUCGGUAAGUCGGAUGUGAAAUCUCCAGGCUCAACCUGGAGGGGUCAUUCGAUACUGCCGUGACUCGAGUCCGGUAGGGGAGUGUGGAAUUCCCGGUGUAGCGGUGAAAUGCGCAGAGAUCGGGAGGAACACCCGUAGCGAAGGCGGCACUCGUGGGCCGGUACUGACGCUGAGGAGCGAAAGCGUGGGAGCGAACAGG
RNAcentral lists this ribosomal RNA (254 nucleotides) under uncultured bacterium. RNAcentral describes it as "partial 16S ribosomal RNA". It matches the Rfam family "Bacterial small subunit ribosomal RNA", at positions 524 to 776 of the family's 1533-position model. The record is from RNAcentral.